CCUACGGGUGGCAGCAGUAGGGAAUCUUCCGCAAUGGACGAAAGUCUGACGGAGCAACGCCGCGUGAGCGAAGAAGGUCUUCGGAUCGUAAAGCUCUGUUGUUAGGGAAGAACAAGUACGGGAGGAAAUGACCGUACCUUGACGGUACCUGACGAGGAAGCCACGGCUAACUACGUGCCAGCAGCCGCGGUAAUACGUAGGUGGCAAGCGUUGUCCGGAAUUAUUGGGCGUAAAGCGCGCGCAGGCGGUCUUUUAAGUCUGAUGUGAAAUCUUGCGGCUCAACCGUAGUAAGCCCUUGGAACUGAUUGGCUUGAGUGCAGGAGAGGAGAGUGGAAUUCCUAGUGUAGCGGUGAAAUGCGUAGAUAUUAGGAGGAACACCAGUGGCGAAGGCGACUCUCUGGACUGUAACUGACGCUGAGGCACGAAAGCGUGGGGAGCGAACAGGAUUAGAUACCCCAGUAGUC
This 464-nucleotide ribosomal RNA is filed under the name uncultured bacterium. Its description in RNAcentral is "bacterial SSU rRNA". It matches the Rfam family "Bacterial small subunit ribosomal RNA", at positions 338 to 795 of the family's 1533-position model. The record is from RNAcentral.